RNAcentral lists this ribosomal RNA (402 nucleotides) under uncultured prokaryote. Its description in RNAcentral is "bacterial SSU rRNA". It matches the Rfam family "Bacterial small subunit ribosomal RNA", at positions 355 to 774 of the family's 1533-position model. The record is from RNAcentral.
UGGGGAAUAUUGCACAAUGGGGGAAACCCUGAUGCAGCGACGCCGCGUGAAGGAAGAAGUAUCUCGGUAUGUAAACUUCUAUCAGCAGGGAAGAAAAUGACGGUACCUGACUAAGAAGCCCCGGCUAACUACGUGCCAGCAGCCGCGGUAAUACGUAGGGGGCAAGCGUUAUCCGGAUUUACUGGGGGAAAAGGGAGCGUAGACGGAGCAGCAAGUCUGAUGUGAAAGGCGGGGGCUCAACCCCCGGGCUGCAUUGGAAACUGUUGAUCUUGAGUACCGGAGAGGUAAGCGGAAUUCCUAGUGUAGCGGUGAAAUGCGUAGAUAUUAGGAGGAACACCAGUGGCGAAGGCGGCUUACUGGACGGUAACUGACGUUGAGGCUCGAAAGCGUGGGGAGCAAACA